RNAcentral lists this ribosomal RNA (253 nucleotides) under uncultured bacterium. RNAcentral describes it as "partial 16S ribosomal RNA". It matches the Rfam family "Bacterial small subunit ribosomal RNA", at positions 524 to 776 of the family's 1533-position model. The record is from RNAcentral.
UACGUAGGGGGCAAGCGUUGUCCGGAAUCAUUGGGCGUAAAGAGCGUGUAGGCGGCCCGGUAAGUCCGCCGUGAAAGUCCAGGGCUCAACCCUGGAAUGCCGGUGGAAACUGCCGGGCUGGAGUCCGGAAGAGGCGAGUGGAAUUCCUGGUGUAGCGGUGAAAUGCGCAGAUAUCAGGAGGAACACCGGUGGCGAAGGCGGGUCUCUGGGCCGUAACUGACGCUGAGGAGCGAAAGCGUGGGGAGCGAACAGG